GAUGAAGAACGUAGCAAAAUGCGAUAAGUAAUGUGAAUUGCAGAAUUCAGUGAAUCAUCGAAUCUUUGAACGCACAUUGCGCCCGCUGGUAUUCCGGCGGGCAUGCCUGUUCGAGCGUCAUUUCAACCCUCAAGCCCCCGGGUUUGGUGUUGGGGAUCGGCUCUGCCCUUCUGGGCGGUGCCGCCCCCGAAAUACAUUGGCGGUCUCGCUGCAGCCUCCAUUGCGUAGUAGCUAACACCUCGCAACUGGAACGCGGCGCGGCCAUGCCGUAAAACCCCAACUUCUGAAUGUUGACCUCGGAUCAGGUAGGAAUACCAGCUGAACUUAAGCAUAUCAAUAAGCGGAGGA
This 348-nucleotide unclassified non-coding RNA is filed under the name soil metagenome. RNAcentral's name for it is "partial contains 5.8S ribosomal RNA, internal transcribed spacer 2, and large subunit ribosomal RNA". The stretch from base 1 to 120 matches the Rfam family "5.8S ribosomal RNA", at positions 35 to 154 of the family's 154-position model. The record is from RNAcentral.